AGAGUUUGAUCCUGGCUCAGGAUUAACGUUGGCAGUGUGCCUAACACAUGCAAGUCGAGCGAUAUAGCGGCAGACGAGAGAGUAUAAGAAAGGAACGUACCCCCGAGUGAAGGAUAGCCAGCCGAAAGGCUGGGUAAUCCUGCAUAAUCCCGCAAGGGCAAAGCUUUACGCGCUUGGGGAGCGGCCUUUCUCCUAUCAGCUUGUUGGUGAGGUAAUGGCUUACCAAGGCGAUGACGGGUAGCUGGUCUGAGAGGAUGAUCAGCCUCGAUGGGACUGAGACACGGACCAUACUCCUACGGGAGGCAGCAGUUGGGAAUUUGCACAAUGGAGGCAACUCUGAUGCAGCAACACUGCGUGAAGGAUGAAGGUUUUCGGAUUGUAAACUUCUUUUAUCUGGGAAUAAUCUUGAAGGUACCAGAUGAAUAAGCACCGGCUAACUACGUG
This 444-nucleotide ribosomal RNA is filed under the name uncultured bacterium. RNAcentral describes it as "bacterial SSU rRNA". It matches the Rfam family "Bacterial small subunit ribosomal RNA", at positions 8 to 507 of the family's 1533-position model. The record is from RNAcentral.